This 732-nucleotide ribosomal RNA is filed under the name uncultured bacterium. RNAcentral describes it as "bacterial SSU rRNA". It matches the Rfam family "Bacterial small subunit ribosomal RNA", at positions 94 to 820 of the family's 1533-position model. The record is from RNAcentral.
AGCGGCGAACGGGUGAGGAAUACAUGGGUAACCUACCCUCGAGUGGGGAAUAACUAACCGAAAGGUUAGCUAAUACCGCAUACGGCUCCUGGUCUGCGGAUCGGGAGAGAAAGCGAUACCGUGGGUAUCGCGCUCUUGGAUGGGCUCAUGUCCUAUCAGCUUGUUGGUGAGGUAACGGCUCACCAAGGCUUCGACGGGUAGCUGGUCUGAGAGGACGAUCAGCCACACUGGCACUGCGACACGGGCCAGACUCCUACGGGAGGCAGCAGUAAGGAAUAUUGCGCAAUGGGCGACAGCCUGACGCAGCGACGCCGCGUGGGGGAUGAAGGUCUUCGGAUUGUAAACCCCUUUCGGCAGGGAAGAUGGAACGGGUAACCGUUCGGACGGUACCUGCAGAAGCAGCCACGGCUAACUUCGUGCCAGCAGCCGCGGUAAUACGAAGGUGGCAAGCGUUGUUCGGAUUUACUGGGCGUACAGGGAGCGUAGGCGGUUGGGUAAGCCCUCCGUGAAAUCUCCGGGCCUAACCCGGAAAGUGCGGAGGGGACUGCUCGGCUAGAGGAUGGGAGAGGAGCGCAGAAUUCCCGGUGUAGCGGUGAAAUGCGUAGAGAUCGGGAGGAAGGCCGGUGGCGAAGGCGGCGCUCUGGAACAUUUCUGACGCUGAGGCUCGAAAGCGUGGGGAGCAAACAGGAUUAGAUACCCUGGUAGUCCACGCCUUAAACGAUGGAUACUAAG